Molecule: long non-coding RNA, 2047 nt
Organism: Oreochromis niloticus (Nile tilapia)
Lineage: Eukaryota; Metazoa; Chordata; Actinopteri; Cichliformes; Cichlidae
Exons: 6
Source: RefSeq, a predicted model, not a curated record
AAUAGCGGCUGGUAAACCAGCUUACAAGUGCACUACCGCCACCUGCUGCACUGGAGUGUGGCUCCGCCAAUAAAUGUCCACACCUUUUCCGGCUUUUAAGCCAAUCAGCGAUGCGCCCUGCGUGAACACGGGGUUUGAAAUGUGGAGAGACUCGGCUAAGCUAGACGACAAAGAAAGUUAACCUGGUUUUGUUCUGCACUACUUCCUGUCCAACACAGAGGACCCAUGCCAGCGGUUAUGGCGAAUGAUACCGCGUGGAUGACGACGUGGAAUAUGGACACAAAUCCCAGCAACAGAUGCUGUGGUGUAGAUGUCAUGGAAGGUCCUCUUCGCCUUCUCCCAGGCAGAACUCCAAGCUCCAUGACCUGAUGACAUGAGCUCCUUCAUUCCUUAAGUCUGAAGAUUGGACAGCUUAUGCUUACAUGAGAUGACCCAAAUAUAUCCUGCCAGCAAAAGUAGGUAGAGGAAGUCCGACCCCAAAACUGCUUAAUACCAGUACACUCUGCCAGCCCCACAGCAGCAGACACUGCAGUCACUGGUACAGCUCUUUGUGGACCUUCACUAGUUGUGGACAUCACCAGUCACUGAUCCCUGAGCUGCUGCAGAAUGACCUACAUUGACCCGAUGUUACCCAAUGCUGGAAAACGAUUUCCAGUAGUGAAUUCUCUAAGAAUCCAAACCCAUCCCUUCUUAUUUGAUGAUUGAAACAUCAGCUUGCAGCCUUGUGCACAGUGAGGAGUCGGACAAGAUUUUGCAUCAGAAGAAAUAUCCAAAGUGGUGGAGAGCAUCAUGACCAACCUCGGAAGAUCUGUGUCAUUGGCUUAACUUCAACAUUUUCCUUCACUCUUACUACAGCAACAAUCAUCCAGGCAAAUACUGUAAUAAAAUGGCACAAACUUGUAUCAUAUUUCUAGCAGUUUUGAUUUUUGGGUCAUAGCAUCCAGCUGUCAAAUAGCUGAAUUAAAGCAGCAGAGGGUUCAUUAAUCACUUUUGCUGAAAGUGUUUUGCAGAGGUGACAGCAACUGGACUCCUAAGAACGAUUACAGUUUCAGUGAAUGCCUUGCAUCAUCAGAGGCUUUAGCUCAUUUUAAAUAUCUGCUUGUUCUGUUGUUAUGUCAUCCAGCAGGGUUAGAAGUUUGUUUGCCUGGCACUAUGAUGUGUAUGUAUUAUUGUAGGGUCUACCUUACAAUAUAAAGUGGCUUGAGGUGACUGUUGUUGUGACUUGGCGCUAGAUAAAUAACAUUGAAUUGAAGCAAUCUGUAUUCGGAUUAUUUAUGUACCCAGGAAACGGUGAAAGUAACUGUAUAGUUGUAACAUCGAAGAUUCUCCGCAACAUCUGUGCAGGAAGCAAACCUGAGAUGGUUGGUGUUAAACUUAACAAUAUCCUGCUGUUCACCUGGUUAGCUGUAAUUAUACUGAUAAUGAAAUCACUGGUGUAUUUUUACACCUUAGAUACUGAUUUACACUGACUCUGCAGGUUUAGUGGAUCUGUCAAGUAUCAGUGGUUUACACAUGGAUUUCUUUUGAAUAAACCGUAAUUAGUAACUGGGGAACCGACAUAUGUAAUGUAGGUGUUUGGCACCAGUACAGAUCAUAUUACAGCGGUAUUGGCCAGAUAUGAAUAGAUUAUAGAGAACUGGCUUCUUCAUUUACAUGAACCAAAGAAUUUUAGGUGCAUAUGACAAUCCAAUUUAUUUUUUUUCUUUGCAUAAAUGUGUUCAUUUUUAAUUUUAUGCAACCAAUAGUUGUCUAAAAAGUUGGAACAGAAGACUGAAAAAGCUGAAAAUCAAUAUUCAGUUGCUGUGUCUUUGUGCCGUCGGGUGGAAAUGCAUUUAAAAAAAAGAUUCGGUAGUAGACAUCACUCUGUGGACUCAAAAGAAUUCUGAAAAUCCUCGUCAUUAAAGUUCAUUGCUACAUCCACAGAAAGCUUAAAUCUACUAUGUACGCUAAAAAAGGAACGCAGUGUUACAUCCAGGGUCAUUUAAGAUGGAUGGAGGUGAUGUGGAGAAUUGGCCUGUGGUCUGAGCCGGAAUUAGAAAAGGGGGGG